RNAcentral lists this transfer RNA (73 nucleotides) under Canis lupus dingo (dingo). It matches the Rfam family "tRNA". Rfam says of the family: Transfer RNA (tRNA) molecules are approximately 80 nucleotides in length. Their secondary structure includes four short double-helical elements and three loops (D, anti-codon, and T loops). Further hydrogen bonds mediate the characteristic L-shaped molecular structure. tRNAs have two regions of fundamental functional importance: the anti-codon, which is responsible for specific mRNA codon recognition, and the 3' end, to which the tRNAs corresponding amino acid is attached (by aminoacyl-tRNA synthetases). tRNAs cope with the degeneracy of the genetic code in two manners: having more than one tRNA (with a specific anti-codon) for a particular amino acid; and 'wobble' base-pairing, i.e. permitting non-standard base-pairing at the 3rd anti-codon position. Lineage: Eukaryota; Metazoa; Chordata; Mammalia; Carnivora; Canidae. The record is from Rfam by way of RNAcentral.
ACCUGGUUGGCUCAGUUAGUAGAGCAUACAAUUCUUGAUCCUGGGGUUGUGGGUUCAAGCCCCACCUUGGGUG